CCUCCCCCGUCCCCGCUCCCCCAACUCCCCUCCCAUCGCCCACCCGCCUCGCCGUCGCUCUCGCGUUGCCGAUCUCGCCGCUGCCGCUGCUCGUCGUCGCCAUCGUCGAGAGGAGAGCGACAGGUGGACCAGGCGCGUCGCCAUCGACGGGAGAUGCGCAGGAACCGCCAGCGCUCCUCCGGCGACCAAUCCUUCUCUCUCGCCCAUCGUCGCGCCCCCGUCGUGCUCGUGCAUCACAUCAUCGGGAGGAGGGUUGUUGGCUCACCCACGCUGCCGGCGCUGAGGCGGAUGCCGAUGUCAUCGUUUCCUCUGGCCAGCUUUGCCCAUGUUUCUGGGGACGUUGCGCCCUCUACGGCCGGAAGCCCCUCGCCCUGGCGCCGCCACUACGUGCCGCCCCCAACGCCAACAUCGGUAUCUCUCUACUGAUCUCCUUUUUUGUGGCAUAUAUGCCAGGAAACUGAGCCAUCCAUGUAAGGUUGCAGGCACCUAUUACAACAAGGUUAUUCUCAUUCUUCUCCUAUUAAUAAGCAGCUAGAUCCAAGAUGUGUUCACACUCUUUGGCACUGCUAAAGACACUUCAUGAAAGUCAGGUGUGUAAGCCGUAAAGCCGAGGGAGCUCGACCAGGUCGCUUCUUCUUGCCGUUGAAGCGCCGGAUCUGUUGAUGCGGACUGGUUCGUUUUUUGCGGCUGCUGCUUCUUUUGGUCGAUACCCUCCUUGGAUUUUCGUUCGAUCUGAGCCAGUGUUCACGACUUCAUCCAGGGAACUGCAGGUCAACCCCUCCUCUUUCUUUUCCUGGAUGUGUUUUAAAUAAUGUAGGCCUACAAAGGUACAACUUAUGUUGAGGAUAUGAAAUAUCUGUAUCUAUUAGCUUAUACUUAUUUCAUGAUUUUUCUACCUUAGUUGCCCUUUUUGAGAUUAAUCAUUGCAAUUGACUAAAGGUUUGUACUAUGUGUUGUUCUUGGUUCUCUAAUUUUAUUUACUUUAAUCUCGGCAGAUAAGAAACUCAUUCAGAUGGAAAUAAUAUGCAAUUUCUGUAUGUUAUCCUUUCAAGACGCCUGGUAGCAAAUAUUUAGAUUUUCUUUAAAGAAGUAGAAAGCACCUGUCUGUUGUCUUGAGUCUCUUCAAUCUGCUUUACUCAUAUGGAGCUUUUUUAAUUUUAACUUGAAACCGUGGAAUGUGAGACAAGCAUCAAGAGCACUGAUUAAUGGGAGGAGUUUAAUGCCUUUUGAGUAUUGUUAGAUGAGCAUCAAGAUGUUCUUUUUUGUUUGGAUGCACCCACUGGUGGAACGUGGAACAAAAGUGAGAAGCCAACAUUAUUUUUUAUAUAGCUUUAUAGGUGCCUGUUUAUAGUUGCAGCAUAUGGUACUAAUGGUCCAGAACAUCUAUUUCGAUAUUACUUUAUUCUGUUUUGUUUCCUUAAUUUUCUAUUUGGACUCUUUUUUAACCUAUUCUGUACUGUUAUAUAAGUCUGCUAUUUGAACCCUACUUCAUACAGUUGGCCGCUGAUGUUAUUUCAGAACACUAGAUAUUGCAUCAUGCAUGAGGAUAUGUUUUAGCUUCAGAUUUGAGAUAAUCUAUCUAAUGGUUUUAAGGACAUAGUUGCUCACCAUCUUAUAGGAUAGCUGAAACCUUUACCCAUAAGAAUAGACCCAUAUGAAAGUUUGCUUUAAAUAGGUGUUGUUUUAUUUUUGAAGCUAAAUCAGAUGAGGGUGUAUCGUGUAUACUUUCUUAGUAUAAAGUCAUUACUGGUCCGCCAUUCGGCGGGCAAUCGCGCGGCAAGAAGCUGCAGCCAUUAUCUUAAUAAACUGGUAGGGCCGCUGUCCAAUCCAUUAACUAUGGACUUUUUUCUUUUUUUUUCUUCUCAUCUUGACAUUGUUGUAUGCACCAUAAUUCAUGGCUGCAUUUUCUCAUAAAUAUUAGUAAAGGUUACCAGUGUUAUCAUAUUAGAAUUCGAAAAUAACCUAAUAUGAACUCAUGAUAGAGAAGAUAUACUCCCUCUGUUCCUAAAUAUUUGUCUUUCUAGAGAUUUCAACAAGUGACUACAUACGGAUCAAAAUGAGUGAUUCUACACUCUAAAAUAUGUCUAUAUACGUCCGUAUGUGAUAGUCCAUUUGAAAGCUCUAAAAAGACAAAUAUUUAGGAACGGAGGGAGUAUUUGACAUGAUGCAUCGUCAUAUUGUGCAAAUUUUACCAGUAAUAGCACAUCAUCCUUAUUAUCUGGCACUAUAACAGAAAAUAAUACCACUCCUUGAAAGUAGGCUUUCUAACAUUCUAGACUUGGUUAAAGAUUUGGGUUAACUGAAACUGUUGUGCAGUAAUAGGUGUUGUCUUCAAUUAAAGAUUUGGGUUAACUGAUAAAUCGUUGACUUCUUCCAGUUGAGCAUCUUGGCAGACCGCCUCUCCAUGUUUUGAAGGAAUCUCUUAUGCUCUUUUCCACUGCUUUCUACUAUGUUCUAUAUGUCAAUAAGCUUCGCCAAGAUAUGCUAUAAUGUCUGUCUAACCCAAAGUGCAAGCACAACUACACCAUUCUCAUCUCUGUACUGUAAUGUUGUCAAUGCAAAUUCAUGGAAGCUUCUAUGUAUGCUGCAAGAGUAACCAGACAAUAAACAUACUACCUCCAUCCAUUUAUGAGAUGUAUAUCAUACAAUUGAAAACUUAUUUCAAAUUCAAAAUUUGAUGGUGUACUACUUGUAACAUACACAUUAUACUAUUGGUCUAGCAUGUGGUGAAAGUAAACCCCCAAAUAUUUACUUGGCCAUAUAUAUAUAUAUACUAGAGGGAGUACAUGUUAUCGCAAAGGUUUUGUCAUUGUCCAGUUCCGCAUUAGAAUGACUAGAAAUGUUAGCUAAUCAAUUUAUUCUACCCAGAGUUACCUUUGAGGAUCAAGUGGAAUCUUCUAAUUUUAGAUAAAAUGUUAAACAGAAGCAUGAAUUUUACCUUUUUGAACAAGGUUCACCAAUCAUCAGAAAUCAAAUAUGUACAUCUAUUGCAGUGAAGUUAAAAUAAGUUUAUGUAACUUGGAUUUUUUUUGCGUAUGUAACUUAGUUAAAAUAUUGAUUAACUAAUUACACACUACUUACGGUGGUCUUAUAAUUGAACGAGACAUUUACAGAAAUCCGCUUAGACAAGCUCCCGGGGCAUUCAGCAUCAAAGAGUUUCCUGUUUCUAUUGCCAGUUGCUACUCUGUGUUAGAUGAUCAUUAGCCAUAUAAUGCUACUAGAUGUGGUGUCUAACGUCGCCUUGUAUUGCUUCGGUUUUAAUUAAGUAAACUGGAGCAGGGUAUAUGCCCUGUUCAAAUAAUAAUGAUAAAUGUUGUCAACUGUUCAAGUGAUAAUAGCCUCCCUUAGCUUUUAUUUGUUUUGCUUGAAAUUUCAGCAACAAAGAUAUUAUGUUAUAUCUUCUUUUUGGUGAGCGGGUGAGCUAAUUUGGCAAUUUUCCUCUUGGUCUAUGCAGAAAUUGGAUGCUUCAAAGGAUUUGAUUAUUGUAGGUGAGUGUGAUAAUCUGCAGUCUCACAUGCAUCAUUAGCUUCCCUUAUCAUGCAACAGGUAUUCUUCAUGUUUUGUAUCUUGCCAAGUUCGAUUAUUUCUUGGCUUAGAGCAGCGCCGCAAGUAGAGAGAGAGGCCAAGGGUACUCAUGUGUCAUGAUAGAUAGCUGUGCAGGAGCAGCUCGGGGACAAAGCCAAGGUCUAAAAUGCUGAAUCCCAAUAAAGUGGUACUGUAUAUCUCAGAUGCAGGAUGACAAACUUGUGAACUAAGCAGCAAAAGGACGGAAAGAGCCCGAUGGCGUUGUAGCUAUCGCCCCCUUCAGCGUCCAGGAACCAGGCAAAACGCCAUUGUCAAUGUGAGCGGCGACGAGCGAAUGGGCAGCAACCUCAUGCACCAUGGCAUGACGAUCAGAUCGGCGACGUGAUCGUUGUGCUGGACAAUGCCAAGGAUCAGUUCGUUUUUGUCAAUUGUCGUGUGGGAUUCUAUGCCCAUCCUUUUCUGAAAACUUCUGUUUUUGUUAUUCAAAAUAUUUAAGAACUUGUGAAAUUUGUUAUCUUUUGUAAGUAAAUGGCGGUGUCAAAGUGUCUUGUAUAUUUCAAUUAAUUCUCAACAGGUUGCCAACAAACUUAUUAUUAUGGUGUUGUUCUAAACCUUG
RNAcentral lists this ribosomal RNA (4141 nucleotides) under Triticum aestivum (bread wheat). Its description in RNAcentral is "partial small subunit ribosomal RNA". Lineage: Eukaryota; Viridiplantae; Streptophyta; Magnoliopsida; Poales; Poaceae. The record is from RNAcentral.